This 259-nucleotide ribosomal RNA is filed under the name uncultured bacterium. Its description in RNAcentral is "partial small subunit ribosomal RNA". It matches the Rfam family "Bacterial small subunit ribosomal RNA", at positions 26 to 285 of the family's 1533-position model. The record is from RNAcentral.
AGGACGAACGCUGGCGGCGUGCUUAACACAUGCAAGUCGAGCGGUAAGGCCUCCUUCGGGGGGUACACGAGCGGCGAACGGGUGAGUAACACGUGGGUGACCUGCCCUCAGCUCUGGGAUAAGCCUGGGAAACCGGGUCUAAUACCGGGUGGGACUGCUUGCCGCAUGGUGGGUGGUGGAAAGUUUUUUCGGCUGGGGAUGGGCCCGCGGCCUAUCAGCUUGUUGGUGGGGUGAUGGCCUACCAAGGCGGUGACGGGUA